RNAcentral lists this long non-coding RNA (8603 nucleotides) under Elaeis guineensis (African oil palm). Its description in RNAcentral is "long non-coding RNA (EGUI_LNC023795)". Lineage: Eukaryota; Viridiplantae; Streptophyta; Magnoliopsida; Arecales; Arecaceae. The record is from RNAcentral.
CCCUGGAGUGCUAGUUCCUUGCGAAGGCCUCUUGAUGGCUGAUCUACGCCCCUCUUCAGAUCUCAGGACUCUUCCGAAGCCGAAGAUGGAUAUAGGAGGAUGAAGUGGUGGAAGACUGUGAAAAUCAGAUAAACUCUCUUCUCACUUUCCUCUCUUCUCGAAACCCUAGAAUCGGAAUCGUAGGGAACCCACUCAAGAGACUCACGCCCAAAAGAAAAUAGAUAUCCUCUAUUUCACACACAGAAGGCCCGCCCCACUCACUGUUUCAUGCCCCACUCAUGAAUAAUUUUCACGGUAAAAACAUUCACACUUUGUCAAACAAAAUGGAGGUCUUUUAUGGUGGGCGAUGAGAUAGAGAUCAAGAUAAAGAUAAGAGUUGGUUUUAGUUCAAAUUUAAAACCCUUUUGAAUUUAAACUUAACCAAACUUAUCCUUAUCCACUAGAGCAUUGAGGUGGGGCGAGAAUCCUCUCUUGGCAUGGGAAUUCAUCACUCAAAACCAAAGAGGGCGUGAAAAAUUUCUCGACGUGGUCAUGGGUUGGCGCUAAGGAGAAGUCCAAUCUAAUUGGACUCUAGGUUUUAGUUAUUUGGUUCCAACCAAAUCUCAUUUAGUUAGAUCCAAAUAGAUAUGAGUGAACCUAAUCAAAUUAGAUAGCAAAUCAACUCAAUUAAAUCCUAAUCCAAUUAAAAAUAAAUCGAAUCCAAGUCCUGAUCAAAUCAAAAAUUAAUCUUCCUUAGCGAUUAGGUCAUCUCAUCACCUAAUCAGAACAAACCUAAUUGAAUCCAAUUCAAUUAGACUUGAUCCAAAUCUCAUUACUCAAUCAAAUUGAACUAAUUAACAAUCUAAUUACUAAUUAAUCCUUCUAUAAUUCACUAAUCUUUAGCAAAUUAUUUCAUCGCAACUUUUGCAUAAGAUUAAUCAUCAAUCAUAUUGACGAUUAUAUUCUUGAACGAUUCUCGAUCGUUGAUCAGCCAUCUGAUCAGACACGAACUUCUAUUGUGUGUAACCCCAUAGGUUCAAACCUAAGCCGGUAGCACAGAAACAAAUUUCUAUACUAAUCGAAGUGAUCAUCUAGCAAUGAUAUCUGACAUCCGGAUAGGCCGAAUGAUCGCAAAGCAACAUUCAAGAACCUUUGGCAUAUGAUUAACAUAUAAUUCAUCCUUUUGACCCUCAAUGCUCAAGAUGACUUCAGAGUUAAACUGUCAACUCUUAAUCAGUACAUUCGUAGUAUGUCUUAAUCUUAUAAAUCCUGUGACUCCUCAUAAAGAUUAUCCUGACUAAGAUUUUACUAAAUUGAAACACAUUGUAGCAUUAUCUUCAACAACUUGGAGCGGUCAAUUCCAUCUUAGCUCACACAUCGACUUAGCAAGUAUUUGACUAUGCCCAGAACCUUCCAUCACUGUAUCAGAAAUACAGGUAGUCCGGCACUAAAGCACAAUAAGUUGCUUGCAAGUCACCGUGGUGAUCUCAAAUCAGAGGGACACUUAUACCCAUAUCCUUUGCGAGCUACUCUUGACAGCAGAAUGCUCCUCAGUUUGAUCACGUUCAGUGCAAAUGUACUCCUACAUUUCAUCUGCAUGCCAUACCAAUGUCUUCACAUUUUUUGAUUACGAGAACAACCAACUCAUAUAACAUACAACGAUCUAUACUUCAUAAAACGUUAUCGUCUUAGUAAUAACGUAUCAUUUGAUCGCGAACAAGUUUAAGAACUACACGAUAGAUCCUCCUUUAUCAAUUGAAAGUAGUUCUAAAGAUUUCAUCAUAACAUAAGAGUUCAAUAAAAAAGAUGCACAAUUUAUGAUGAAAAUAUCAAAUAAUUUUUAUUAAUUAAUAAUUCAUAUAUAAUUUAUAAAUAGCACAAUCAUUUACAAACAAACGAUUGGCUUUAGGACACAUUUUUCAAUAACUCUCACUUAGACUAAAACCAAUCGAAACAGUAUCGAAUAUCCAUCUUCUAUUUGUGAUCAUCGAACUCCUUGAUUCUAAGGACUUUAGUAAAUGGGUCGGCCAAAUUCUCCUUUCCAUCGAUCUUCUGAAGAUUGAUGUCACCUUGAUCCACGAUCUCACGGACAAGGUAAUAGCAACGGAGGAUGUGCUGGGUUCUCUGAUAGGACUUAAGUUCUUUUGCUUGAGCGAUGACACCAGUGCUGUCACAAUACAAAAAAAUCGAAUCUUCAACUGAAGGAACCACUUCAAGCUCGCUGAUGAACUUCUGCAACCAAACAGCUUUCUUGGCAGCAUCGAAUGCCACAAUAUACUCCGCCUCACAAACAGAAUUGACUAUAGUGUGCUGCUUGAAACUUUUUCAACAAAUCGUCCCAUCAUUUAGGAUAAAAAUAUAUCUCGAUACCCUUUUGCUAUCAUCAUGAUCCGACAGAAAACUGAAUCUGUAAAUCCUAUAAGUUUUCAGUCAGAUUCUAUAUAAAUUAGCCAUUAGUCCUUAACAUUUUUUAAAUACUUAAGGAUGAUUUUUACAAUCUUCCAAUGAUUCUCACUCAAAUCAGAUUGAUACCUACUUACUACACCUAGUGAGCAUGCCAAAUCCGAUCUUGUACAUAUCAUGGCAUACAUGAUAGAUUCAACUAUCGAGGUAUAUGAGAUUCUACUCAUAUGCUCUCUCUUGUAGAGUUGUCGAACAAUCCUUCUUAGAGAGUAAUUUCAUGACCUAUCAGAAGAUAGUUUUUCUUGAAAUUUUUCAUGCUGAACCAUUUAACGAAGCCAUACAUUCUGAUCGUCUUAUCAAAAUGUAUGUUCCAACUCUGAGAUGCCUACUUCAAUACGUAAAUGGAUCUCUGAAGCUUGCACACCUCAGAUUCAUCUGUGGAUGUGAACUCUUCAGGUUGUAUCAUAUACACCUCUUCUUCCGGUUCUCUAUUUAAGAAAGUGAUUUUGACAUCCAUUUGUUAAAUUUCGUAAUCAAGGUAUGCCGCUAUCGCAAGUAUAAUCCGAAUAAACUUGAGCAUUGUCAUAGAAGAAAACGUCUCGUCAUAGUCAAUACCAUAACGUUGACAAUAUCUCUUGACAACCAAACAGAUUUUAGAGAUCUACACCUUCCCGUCUGCACUCUUUUUUUUAAAAAAAAUCCACUUACACCCUAUGGAUUUUAUCUUUUUAGGUGGAUUAACGAGUGUCUAUACAUCGUUGAUCUUCAUGAACUGCAUUUUGGACUUCAUGGCUUAAAGCUACUUAUCAGAAUCGGAUCUCUACAUGGCAUCCACGUAGGUGAUUGGAUUCUUGUUGUUUUCAUCAAGUUCAAUAGGAUCACCGUCCCAAACUAAGAAACCGUAGUAUCUGUCCGGCUGACGCAGUAUUCUACCGGAUCUCCUCAAAAGUGCCUCUACAACGGGCUCUGAGUUUGAUCUAAUCAAAUCUAGUUCUGUAUUUUCAUUUGUUUGUGUCGGUUUUUCUAUCUGUCAAACUUUAUCAAGUUCAACUUUAGUGGCAUUAGUUUCUUCCCCAAGAAAUUUUUUUUUUCCAAAAGAUAGCCCUAUGGCUGACAAACACCUUUUGUUCUUCAGUAAGAUAGAAGUAAUAAUCCUUAAUUUAUUUCGGAUAUCCAAUAAAUAAAUAUUUAUCUGAUCUAAGCCCAAGCUUAUCUAUUUUUAAACGUUUGACAUAAGUCGGAUAUCUCCAAAUUCUAAAGUGUGAAAGCCCCGACUUACGUCCAGUCCACAUCUCAUAUGGUGUUUUAUUAACAAACUUACUCGAAAUCUUAUUAAGUAUAUAAUAGGCAGACUCGAGUGCAUAUCUCCAAAAGAAGAUCAAUAGACUUGCAAAAUCCAUCAUAGAUCGAAUCAUGUCUAACAAAAUUCGAUUUCUCCUUUCUGAUACUCCAUUAUGUUGUGGUGUCCCAGAAGGAGUCCAUUGUGAGAAAAUCUCAUUCUUUUCUAGAUAUAUCAGAAACUCACGAAUGACGUAUUCACCUCCUCGAUCAGAUCGAAGAAUUUUUAUGCUCUUCACAGUUUAUUUGUCAACCUCAUUACGAAAUCGUUUGAACAUUUCAAAUGAUUCAAAUUUAUGUUUCAUAAGAUAGACGUAUCCAUACCUCGAUAGGUUAUCGGUGAACGUAAUGAAGUAAUAAUAUCCACCUCUGGCAUAUGUGUUCAUUGGUCCAUAUAUAUCACUAUGUACUAGGCUUAAAACUUCACUGGCUUGUUCACUUUUUUCAGUAAAAGAUGAUUUAGUCAUCUUUCCAAGAAGACAGGAUUCAUAGGUUGGCAAUAAUUCACAAUCAUUGACUUCGAAGAUUCUCACUUUAGCUAAUUUGUUUAUCCUGUUCUUGUUGAUAUGACCUAACCUACAAUGCCAAAGGUAGGCAUCCAUGAUAUUAUUUAAUCUAGGAUACUUAUUCGAUGUGUACAUUACACUGAUAGGCCAUGAUAAAACGUAAAUGCUAUUACUCAUUUGUCUAUUCAUCACAGUAACACCAUUCAUAAUGAUAUCACAAUAAUUAUUUUUUAUUAAAAUUUCAUAUCCGUUCAUGGCCGGAAGGCUUACAGAAAUUACAUUCAAUAAAAAAGACGAACAAAAGUGACAAUCAUUCAAAACAAUGAUAUUAAAAUUGAAAACAAGCUCGACAAUUUCUAAAGCUAGAACUAGAACAGAUCUUCCAUCUCCAACAUUCAGGAAUCUCUCGUCGUCUUCAAACCUCCUACUAACCUGAAGUCCCUACAACAAAUUGCAAAUAUUAAUAAGACUUUCAGAAUCCAAUAUACAGAUCGUAGUAUCACAAAUAAAAAAAUUACAAAGUAUUAUCAUAUAAUUAUCUUGAUCAGCAACUGCUUGCUUCUUUCUCUUAUUCGAUCUGUUUGGGUCAAGAGAAGCAAUGCAUUGAAGACAGUUCCUCUUCCAAUGAUCCAGCUUCUUACAGUAGAAGCACUCUGCCUGAUUCUGAUCAGCCUUAGACUUUUUUGUCUGAACGGACUUAGACGCCCUGGCACUCUGCACCCUUUUAUUCUUCUUCCCUUUCUUAAAGGGACAACGCCCAGAAGAGGACCAUCCCACUACAUUCACCGGCUCUUUGUGAAGCUGGUGAUCAAAGCCGGUGAUCCUUCUCAAAAAUUUACAGCAAUCCCAGCAAACCGUGAUAGUUAACUGCAGACUUAGUCAUUCUAUAAUGACUAAGGAAGGAGAGGUAGGACUUAGGCCAAGAGUUCAAAAUCGCAUCUUUCCCAAACUGCUCAUGCAAAAAAAAUUCAAAUUUGCUCAAACACUCGAUCUGUUCGAUCAUGUACAGUACAUGAUCAAUGACCAACGCUUCUUCCCUCAUUCAAGCAUUGAAGACAGCACGACUAAUUUUGUACCUCUCAACGUCAUCAGGAGUACUGAAGGACUCGUUCAACCCUUGCAACUGUCCUCCGAUCGAGCAUCCUCAAACUUGCGACUGAACUCAUCGUUCAUCGCCGCCCACAUGAUACAAUGCACCAUGAUUCGAUCGUUGAGCUAUUUUUGGUAAGUAUCUCGAAUCGCACCACGAGCAUUCGGAGUGGACUCCUCAAGUGACAGAUCUGUUAGAACAUACAAAAUCUGCUCAUGCUCCAGGACGAUGUUUAAUUUUUCAAUAUCAGCUAUCGAAACUAGGUUCCGUCAACUUAUCACCGUCCAACAGUGAUCAGAGCGAUAAAGUACUAGCCAUAACUACAUAAAAGGAAAAACCAUAAGACCUAUUAAUAUAUAUAAAUUAUUUAAGCCUAAAGAUUUAGACUUUACUCUAAAAGUUCUUCCAUUAUUUUAUACGAAUUGAUAGCCUCUACCUCCAAUUUGAGAAAUUGCUUUAAUUCUUUAGCCGGUACUAGAAUUCACACAGGCUGCACACGGAUCCGAGUGUGGCUCGACUAAUCCAUGUACAUCUAUGGAUAGGUUCUUAACCAAUUGCUUCUCCAAAUAAUUUCUAGUAAUUAGUUUUGCCCUAGGCAUCACUUCAGCAAGCAUGUAGCACCUCUACUAAAAAUCCUGAUUAGGUCUAACUAUUAACAUGACCACACUCAGCAUAUCUAACUAACGAAUAAUCGGGCCCAAGUGUGGCUCGGCCAACCUGACCAUCUAUUAGAGAAUCACAAUUGAGUCAUUAUAUAAUGAAUGAUACUUCCAAUAGCAGAUAAGCACCAGACGUAUAGCGCCUCCAACGAUUAUUAAACUAUUGGACCGAUUAUCAUCCACCUUAAUAGGAGGCUAUGAUCUAGUUAUCCUCAUAACUAUUUUAUUUUUAAGAUCUAAUAAUUUAAAAAAUUUAUUUACAUAUUUUCAAAAAUAAGAGAAGAGAUUGAUUAACUAAUCAUAAUGCUUUCACUAACUUCACAAAGCCAUCAAAGAAGACUACAGACAAGCCAGUCCAGAAACACCUAAACUAGUUAAAAUCGAUUUACCUAACUAGCAUGGAUCAACCCGAAUCAUUAAGUAAUCUAAUCAAAAUCAAAUCGACCACAUUGGUUAGGUAAGUGGAGACUGACGGAAGGAUCCUCAUUUCUUUCCUUAGUUAAAUACCAAUGCAGUUGGCCAGAAAAGAGAACAGUCCCAAUUAAAAACCCCAUUCAGUCACUUGCCUUAGACACCAAUCAAUUUAUCUAUUUCGAUUUAAUGAACUUAUAGACUUGGGUUCGACCACUAAGCUAACAAUCAGGUUCAUUUGGACUAAUCAAAAACAUAGACUUGACCAACUACAACUAUUGUAUUUGAUCUAGAGUAUCCUUGACCUAAUCUAAAUCAACUUUUGGAUAGAUUGGAUCAAUUACUCAAUUUAAUCAAUUAACUCUUUGAUUCUAAUCCUAGGUCUAACCCAGUUAAAAAAAUCUGAUUUGAGCUAACCCAUAGCCCCAUAUUUUAUGCAAUGUCAUUAGAUCUUAAAUUCACAAUUCUAGAUCUAAAUGUUCAACCCUUAAUUCUCAAUUAAGUGUAGAAUUAACAUGAAUUUAGGUUAGAUUUUGAAAUCAUUUCAAGUGUAAACUAUUUUACAUUAAAUUUUAUGUAUAAAUAUUCAGUUCCGAAAUUUGAGUCAGCUCACCUUUAGAUUGAGCCGACUCAUCAUAAUGGGUCGACUAAAUUCUGAGACAUAGUUGAUUCACUGAUGAUGAACAGAAACUCUUAUUUUCAGCCUGCACAAACUGGGUCCGCUCAUCAAGAAACUGAGCCAACCCAUAAAGGUUCUGAGUCGACUCAAAUCAAAAUUGAGUCGACUAAGCAUGCUUGACAGCAACACAUUGCAGAAUUUUCAAAACAAAUAUUUUUCCACAACCAGCAAUAAAAUCAAUCAUAAAUCAUUUUUAAAUCUAAUCUAAACUUAUUUAUGAUUCUAGAUUUUAUUUGCCAUGAUUAAAAUAAUUUUUAAAAAAAAAUUUCACGGUUCUUCCUCAUGAAACAUCACAAUGACACUCCUACACAUCAUGAGAGAACCCAUGGAAUGAGAAGAGAUCUUUAAAUCCUACUUGCUCUUAUAACUGAAUGGCCUGAUGAUGCACAAUCCGAAUACUAGGCUACUAAGACAUCUAAUCUAACAUAUCACAUAUAAGAUAGAUUAAUUUCGGAUCUAUAUGCAUAUGGAUUUAUAUCAUGUCGAACUUCGGCUCUGAUACCAAUUGAAAGAAACAUAGGCAGUUUCAUGCAUGCAUUUUUAAAAUUUUUAAUGAAAGCAGACUAGAUUAAACAAUUUAAUCUACUAUGAAUGUAUUAGAUCAGAUCUAAAAACCACCUACUAAAGAUCAUAUGAUAUAAAUAAUAUGCAUAAUCUGAAAUCUUAACACUAUUGAUCAUAUCAAUAAAAUAGUAGAUCACAUCUACGAUCUCUACGAUAAACUAGAUCAUAUCUACUAAGAUCAGAUCUUAUACCAAAGCGCGGAUAGUUGAUCACCGCAACUGACAACCAUGGAUUUGAGGUUCUUCCUGAUGCCGAGCAGCCGCACAGAAUGUCUGACCUCUACAGAACAUCCACACGAAGCCCUGAUGCUGAUUGAUCUCUCUGGAGUGCUAGCUCCUUGCGAAGGCCUCUUGAUGGCUGAUCUACACCCCUCUUCGGAUCUCACAGACUCUUUCAAAGUUGAAGAUGGAUUUAGGAGGAUGAAGUGGUGGAAGACUGUGAAAAUCAGAUAAACUCUCUUCUCACUUUCCUCUCUUCUCGAAACACUAAAAUCAGAACCCUAGGAAACCCACUCAAGAGACUCACGCCCAAUAGAAAAUAGAUAUCCUCUGUUUCAUACACAAAAGACCCGCCCCAUUCACUAUUUCAUGCCCCACUCAGGAAUAAUUUUUACAGUAAAAACAUCCACACUUUGUCACACAAAAUGGAGGUCUUUUAUGGUGGGCGAUGAGAUGGAGAUCAGGAUAAAGAUAAAAGUUGGUUUUAGUUUAAAUUCAAAACCCUUUUGAAUUUAAACUCAACCAAACUUAUCCUUAUCCACUAAGGUGUUGAGGUGGGGCGAGAAUCCUCUCUUUGGCGUGGGAAUUCAUCAUGCAAAACCAGAGAGGGCAUAAAAAAUUUCUCGACAUGGUCAUGAGUUGGCACUAAGGAGAAGUCCAAUCUAAUUAGACUCUAGAUUUUAGUUAUUUGGUUCCAACCAAAUCUCAUUUAGUUAGAUCCAAAUAGAUAAGAGUGAACCUAAUCAAAUUAAGUAG